This 355-nucleotide long non-coding RNA is filed under the name Monodelphis domestica (gray short-tailed opossum). Its description in RNAcentral is "lncRNA (ENSMODG00000048742.1)". The record is from RNAcentral. Lineage: Eukaryota; Metazoa; Chordata; Mammalia; Didelphimorphia; Didelphidae.
CUGGCUCUGUGCUCUCUGGCUCCCUCCCAGGCUCCUGGCGUUUUCCCGACUCUGUGCUCUCUGGCUCUCUCCCAGGCUCCCAGUGUCCCCCCGACUCUGUGCUCUCUGGCUCCCUCCCAGGCUCCCAGUGUCCCCCCAACUCUGUGCUCUCUGGCUCCCUCCCAGACUCCUGGUGUCCCCCCGACUCUGUGCUCUCUGGCUCCCUCCCAGGCUCCCAAUGUCCCCCCCGACUUUGUGCUCUCUGGCUCUGGCUCCCAGUGUCCCCCCCAGCUCCGUGCACUCAGGCUGCCUACCACACUCCUGGUGUCCCCCCGACUCUGUGCUCUCUGGCUCCCUCCCAGGCCCCCAGUGUCCC